Molecule: ribosomal RNA, 639 nt
Filed under: Vishniacozyma tephrensis
Lineage: Eukaryota; Fungi; Basidiomycota; Tremellomycetes; Tremellales; Bulleribasidiaceae
Description: eukaryotic LSU rRNA
Rfam family: Eukaryotic large subunit ribosomal RNA
Source: RNAcentral
GCAUAUCAAUAAGCGGAGGAAAAGAAACUAACUAGGAUUCCCUUAGUAACGGCGAGUGAACCGGGAUGAGCUCAAAUUUGAAAUCUGGCGUCUUUCAGGCGUCCGAGUUGUAAUCUAUAGAGGCGUUUUCCGCGCCGGACCGCGUCCAAGUCUCUUGGAAUAGAGUAUCAAAGAGGGUGACAAUCCCGUACUUGACGCGACAACCGGUGCUCUGUGAUACGUUCUCAACGAGUCGAGUUGUUUGGGAAUGCAGCUCUAAAUGGGUGGUAAAUUCCAUCUAAGGCUAAAUAUUGGCGAGAGACCGAUAGCGAACAAGUACCGUGAGGGAAAGAUGAAAAGCACUUUGGAAAGAGAGUUAAACAGCACGUGAAAUUGUUAAAAGGGAAACGAUUGAAGUCAGUCGUGUGAAAGGUAUUCAGCCGUCUCUGGCGGUGUAUUUGCCUUUCACGGGUCAACAUCAGUUUAGUCCGGUAGAAAAAGGCUGGAGGAAGGUGGCACCCUCGGGUGUGUUAUAGCCUCCUGUCAUAUGUGCCGGAUUAGACUGAGGAACGCAGCUUGCAGCAAUGCCGGGGUUCGCCCACGUACAAGCUUAGGAUGUUGACAUAAUGGCUUUAAACGACCCGUCUUGAAACACGGACC